UACGUAGGGUGCGAGCGUUACUCGGAAUUACUGGGCGUAAAGCGUGCGCAGGCGGCUUCGCAAGUCAGACGUGAAAUCCCCGGGCUUAACCUGGGAAUGGCGCUUGAAACUACGGAGCUGGAGUGUGGCAGAGGGAGGUAGAAUUCCACGUGUAGCGGUGAAAUGCGUAGAUAUGUGGAGGAAUACCGAUGGCGAAGGCAGCCUCCUGGGCCAACACUGACGCUCAUGCACGAAAGCGUGGGGAGCAAACAGG
Molecule: ribosomal RNA, 253 nt
Filed under: uncultured bacterium
Lineage: Bacteria
Description: partial 16S ribosomal RNA
Rfam family: Bacterial small subunit ribosomal RNA
Source: RNAcentral